AAAUAGAUAAAUUUUUUAUAUUUUUUAUAAUUUAUUAUAAAUUUAUUUUACAUGUAAAUUUUAGUAUUAAAUUUUAAUUAUUUUAAUAAUAAUUAAUUAAAUUUUACAGUAAUUAAAAUUAAAAAUUUAAGAAAUUAAGAUUUAGUAAUAUUUAAAUUAAUAACUAAUUUUGUGCCAGCAGUUGCGGUUAAACAAAAAUUAAAUUAAAUUAUUUCAGUAUAUAAUAAAUAAUUAUAAUUAAAUUAAAUAUUAAAUUAUUAAGUGAAAUUUUAAUUUAAUUAAAAAUUAUAAUAAAAUUAUGAUUUAAUAAAUUUUAUUAUAAACUAGGAUUAGAUACCCUAUUAUUAAAAAUUUAAUUAAAAAUACUAAAAUAGUAAAUAAUAUAUUAUUGAAACUUAAAUAAUAUGGCGGUAUUUUAGUUCAUUUAGAGGAAUCUGUCUAAUAAUUGAUAAUCCACGAAUAAAUUUACUUAAUUUAUAAUUUUGUAUAUCAUUGUUAAAAAAAUAUUUUUAAAUAAAAAUAAUAUUUUAAAAUUUAAAAUAAAAUUUAAUUCAGAUCAAGAUGCAGUUUAUAAUUAAGUUUAAGAUGGAUUACAAUAAAUUUAUUUAAACGAAAAGAAUUUUGUAAAAUUUAAUUGAAGGUGGAUUUAAAUGUAAUUUUAAUUAAUUUAUUAAAAUGAUUAAAAAUUGAAAUAUGUACAUAUUGCCCGUCACUUUCAUUUAAAAAUUGAAAUAAGUCGUAACAAAGUAGAGGUACUGGAAAGUGUUUCUAGAAUGAA
This 778-nucleotide non-coding RNA is filed under the name Limenitis weidemeyerii (Weidemeyer's admiral). The record is from RNAcentral. Lineage: Eukaryota; Metazoa; Arthropoda; Insecta; Lepidoptera; Nymphalidae.